Roseobacter sp. MedPE-SWchi is the source of this 288-nucleotide non-coding RNA. The record is from Rfam. NCBI's taxonomy places the organism in Bacteria, Pseudomonadati, Pseudomonadota, Alphaproteobacteria, Rhodobacterales, Roseobacteraceae.
AUCCUCGAUCUGCUGCGGACAGAUAUAGUGAAUAUGGCUGUCAAAGCCACCGGCCGUCAGAAUGCGCCCCUCGCCAGCGAUCACCUCGGUGCCGGGACCAACAAUGACGUCAACACCGGGCUGGGUGUCAGGAUUGCCUGCCUUGCCAAUGCCCUCGAUGCGCCCAUCGCGCAGACCGACAUCCGCUUUGUAGAUGCCGGAAUGAUCGACAAUCAGCGCAUUGGUGACCACCGUAUCCACAGCCCCGGCGGCGCGGGUGACCUGUGACUGCCCCAUGCCGUCGCGGAU